RNAcentral lists this long non-coding RNA (320 nucleotides) under Brassica napus (rape). Its description in RNAcentral is "long non-coding RNA (BNAP_LNC003564)". The record is from RNAcentral. Lineage: Eukaryota; Viridiplantae; Streptophyta; Magnoliopsida; Brassicales; Brassicaceae.
UUUUAACAAUUCACGUGGCCCUUUUCAUUUAUACUGGAUCAAAAUUUACAAAAUUAAUAUUUAACGUCAUGACAAAUUAUUAUGUAUAAUUAUAACAUUAUUAUAAUUAUACAUGAAAUAAAAAAAUGAAAACCAUAUAAUUUUAACGAUAGCACAUGUAGAGUAUCCAACAUCAUAAAUUCAAUCAAAUUAUCAAAACCUCUUACUAAUAGUAAUUAAAAAUUUAACACAUAUAUGAUUACAGAAAAAUACAAAUAUCAUUACAAAAAAAAUAUGAGACAGAAAAUUAAUAUUUUACAAUAAAAUAAAACAAAAAAUAU